Lolium perenne is the source of this 4693-nucleotide long non-coding RNA. RefSeq lists it as uncharacterized. NCBI's taxonomy places the organism in Eukaryota, Viridiplantae, Streptophyta, Magnoliopsida, Poales, Poaceae. The record is from RefSeq and is a predicted model, not a curated record.
CCGGUUCGUUCCUGGCUGGACACCUAUAAUCUCUCCCGAAUCUUCUUCUUUCCUUCCUCUCUCCACUUGUUUAUUUCUCCAUUGAUCUUCUGCAGCUCCUCUUGAGAUCAUGUGGCUGACCUCCACCGAUCUCCUUGCCCGAGCUGCUCUUUUUGAGAUCCCAUGCCAGCGGUGCAGGCCGGUGGCGGCGACCGCGUGAUGGGGAAGCUGCGGGUCGGCGACCUUAGGGGCGGGGCAAGCGCGUGCCGGCGGCGGCGGCGACGACAACGGGGCUGCCGCUGGCCGGUGGCAGCGACCGCGUGAUGGGGAAGCCGUCUGCCGGCUGUGGCGACCGGGAGGCUGCCGCGGGCCGAUGGAGGCGACCGAGGGAUGCUGCAGGCGCGUGCCUGUGACAGAGCUGGGGCGGAGCUGGGACGGCGGCCUUAGGGUGGAGCACGCGUGGGCUGGCGGCGGCCACACCGGGGCGGAGCAGGCAGGGGUCGACACCUUCCCUGGCCGCCUAGCGCGGCAGCACGUCUUCCCAAUCCUUUUUUUCUUUUCCAUCUUUUUUCCCCUUUUGGUGGCAACAAAUUUCACGUUUGGAUCGAUUUCUGUUCUACAUCACAUCGCUGCGGUGACCGUUCUUUCGUUUGCUGCAUCCGUUACCUUCCCAAUUUAUUCGUUUUUUUUUGCUUCCCUUUGAUUUUCUCUGGUUGAUUCGAUGUCUUCGCUGCUGCUGCUCCGUGUGGUCACCGUUGUAGCCUGCCGCGGCAUCCCAGUCGACGUUGUACUGUCUGCAGCUGGCCGCCGCCGCGCAUGGCCCGCUGGUGCAGCCUCAGCGACGGACGCUGCUCGCGCUCGGUGCCGGCGCAGCCUCUACGACCGUCGCCGCCGCUUCUUGCGCUCGGCUUGCUGACCACACACACGGCUCGCCGGCUCAGCCUCCGCUGGCCACGCGCACGGCUUACGGGCGCAGCCUCUGCGACCGCCGCCACCCCUGCUUGCGCUCGGCUCGCUGACCACGCGCACGUGGCUCCGGCGCAGCUUAUGCGACAACCGCCGGUGCUCCCGUUCGGCUCGCCGAACCUGGCUCCGCGGCCGCAGCAAUCUCGCCACUCUCCCGCAGCUCACUGGCCCUUCCUCCAUCGCCUCCAUCAGCCUGAGAGGCUGCAGCACAAGGGCGAGGCGGGUGGCGGCGGUGAAGGCGGACUGUCCCGUGAGGAGAAGAGGCAGCGACGGAGGUGCAGUGACGCCCUUUCUCCAUUCCCUGCAGUUUUAUAUUAGCUUAUUUCGUGCACUGCUAUCCGCUGAUAGCAGGAGUGAAUUUUCCCUUCCAGAUGUAUGUUCAACAGGACUUGGUUUACACGUAGCUGUGGUGGUAGGCCGCCGGGGCAGUCGGAAGAGGUCGUUCGGGGGCCUCUGCUUCUCGCCAGUCGGAGGUCGACGCCCCCAGGUUAUUGUUGCUGCCCCAUUUGGCUUUGCUCCUGCUCCACAGUCGUGGCCAACUCUGCCGCCUUUGCCCUUCCUACUGAUCUACAGGUCGAUUGCGUCCCUGUAAGAUCGUUGUUGUUUCUGCUUUUGCCCUUCCCAUUAAAUAUUCAAAUAUUCAGGUUCGCUUCCAUAUAGCUGAACACCGACACAAUUUCAUGACUGCAAAAAGAAGGUGUCCUCCCAGCUGUUCAAGCCAUAGGUUGAAGCCGUUUAUUCAGCAAAUUUUGCUAGAAAUCUACAGCUUCCUGUUUGCAAUGCGGCAUAAAAAUCUACAGCAACACCGCACAUUUACUCACUCUUGGAACUCAGAUCUUCUUCUUUUAAUAUCUUCUCUUAAUAGCUACCAUAUACACUGUGGGUUUGAGUUUACAAAUUAUCUACAAAAGCACAUGUGCGGAUCAACAAAAAGAAAGCAGACGGCUGGAAAGCUCUUUGGAAUAUGUACCGUUAGGCCUAGACCAGUGUGAAUAUCGAUGGGCACUGUACAAUAUAACUCGGCCUCCGCUGUAUGACCUGAUGUACAUAAGUGUCUUAACUUUCAGAUUAUGUCCAUGUUGCCUCUUGCAUUGUGCAUUUAGAUUCAUCUUUACUAAAAACACCACCGCUAACAGUGCAUAACCCAUUAAUCUUCUGCUCACCAACUGCAUCUAAUCUGGACUUAAUAAGAUUCUCUACAAACAUACGCCUACGGGCCUAUGGGUGCGGCGUGGGGGCGGCGAUGGUGAGGGAUUUGAGGCGACGACCAUGCCGGCAUCGAAGAUCUCCAGGCGAAGGUGAUGUCACCUGCGUGAGACCGCAUACCAUCAUGGCAUGCCCCGGUCCUCCCCUGUCCCUGUGGUCGAUGCCACUGCCUAUGGCUGUCAGGUCACCGCCAGGGCUUAAGCCGGAUCCCACGGUGCCUCCCCCAUCCCCGCAUUUUCUGCAGAGCUUGGAGAGCAAUCCUAUCUUAUUCAGUGGGGAGGCCCAUCAUGCCCAGUCUUCCGCAUCAGCAGUUGUCCACCUCCUUUUGCCCUUGCAGAUUGCAGCCAAUGACAAGCGGAGAGAGAUUGCUACUGAGGGUACAUCUCUUAUCGUGAUAGUAAGUUGACUUGCAUUCUCAAGUCAUCACUUGGAGGCAAUGCAAAGACAUCAAUCAUAUGUGCUGCUGUAUCUAAAGAGGUGUGCUCAUAUUUACAUUUGCUACAUCCCAUUAAAUCAUAGUCUCAAUGCCAAUAUUUCUAUACUACUUUUUCAUUCCCAUGAUUCAAACAUAUAAACAUAUGCUGGUUGGCUAUAGUUUCGACUCUUCGUUGGUUGUUUGGUAGGUUUCAUUCAAAUUAAGUUUGUAUGAUUCUUUAAUUUUGGAGGCAUAGCAGCAACGUAUGCACUGUUAACAAGUAGAGCCCUUUGUCGCCCUGACAUUUCGGUGCUCAAUUGUCAGCUUUCAUAUUUAUAUAAACUACUUGGCUUCUUAUAUCCGAUGGUGUUGGGUGUUAUAAUAAGAUUCUUAUAUUUGGAAUAUUUAUUUUAUAUUGGAAGUUUGUUCUUACAUUGAUAUAGAAAUAGAGUUAUAUGCUUCUCUAGAUAUAGAGUUUAUGCUGUUAUUGUUUAGACUAAUUCACAUGAGUUGAAGCAUGUCUUCUUUAAACUUCUCGUAUGGCUUUGCAAUAUCAGUUGCUUUUUCCUCAUGGUGAUAAAUGAUUCCAUCUCAGCAUUAAGUAUGUCUGUCAAUCUUCUGCAUAUGGUCGUGGUGCACGUUCUCAUGUGCCCACAGCGCCUCCUUCUUUUCCAGUGUCUGCUGCAUCAUCUUCUCGUGAUGAGGUGUCUAUGUUGGAGUUUUAUUCUUAUUAUUUUCAUUAUCGGCAUAAGAACCAAAUCCUUACACAUGCUGUGGGCGCCUUAGUCAGCAAGUUACUGUGAAUGCUUAUUCCUGUGAGGAGGCCAAUAGGCUACCAUAUCAUUUUUUUUAAUCAGCAGGCUCUGCGGUCUGAAACGUAAUCAGGGGCAUUACUAAUGCUGUUGGGGAAGGUAGUUCUACUGGGAAAAAUCUGGGUGUUCAAUAUAUACUUCAUUCAAGUUCCACUGGUGGUCCUCGGUAUAUGGUUCAGAAUUACCAUGAUUGUAUGGCCACUUGCCGUGCACAUGGUGCUCCUGAUCUUUUUUUUUUUACUUCUACAUGUAAUCCCAAGUGGCAAGAGAUUACUGAUGCUUUGGCUUUUGGAGCCAGGCCAGUCUGCGUCAGAUCGCCCUGAUAUAUUGUUACAAGGGUUUUCCAUAUGAAAUAUGAUGAAUUUCUUGCUGAUGUAAAGAGGGGUGCUUUAUUGAUCCUGCCAAAGUGUGCGAGCAUUCUUUUCCGUGGGCUAGGUUUCUUGGAUCAGAUUGUCCAAUGUCUACCGUAGGAGCUUUGCUGCUUUAUUGGGUUCUCUGAUCUAUUGUAUCUUUUUGUUUCCUCUUUUCUCUCUUGCAUAAUUUGUGUUUGUUGGAAAAUUUUCAGGCCCAUAUUAAUGUAGAGUGGUGUAACAGAAUUUUUUGUUGAAGUAUUUGUUUAAGUAUGUUACCAAGGGUCAUGACGUGGUGCGUAUACAUUUUCAAGCUGCCUCUAAUUCUGCGUUUGGUUGAUGCUUCUGGAUUUGCCUCUUGGCAGAAAUGAGAUGGAGGAAUACAUUAAGUGUACCUUUCGGCAUGUGAGGCGUGUUGGCGCAUGUUUGCCUACUAUUCUGUUGAGCGGCUUAUUGUCCACCUACCCUGGCAUGAAUAGAAUUAUUUUUCAUGAGGAUGAUCUCCUUGCUUCUUUGGUCGAUAAUUCGUCUUUUUACAUGACUAUGUUAACAGAAUGGUUUGUGGCCAACCGAGAUCAUACAGACGCUACGUCCUUGACUUACCUAGACUUUCCUCGCUGGGUUUGGGAUGCUUCUAAUAGGCUUGGAAGAAUAUACCAUGUUCACCCUGUUACUAGAGAGUUGUUUUUUUUCCUUCGAAUGCUGCUAUUGGUAGUGGCCAGUGCUACCUAUUUCGAAGACCUCCGGCUGUACAACGGUGUUCUAUAUGGUAAUUUAAAAAAAAGCAUGUGAGGCUCGGGGUUUGGUUAGUGAUGAUAAUGAAUGGUUCAGUCCGUUCGAAGAGGCAAUUGUAUGGGCCUCUCCGUUUCAGUUGAGGCAUUUGUUCAGAUGUAGUUGAGGAAUUUGUUGAUGACUGUUUUGUUGUUCUGUGAGGUUAUUAGGGCUAAUGAAUUGUUCCAUCGAUA